CGAUGAGUGCCAUCGUUACGAUAUUAUUAUAUUUAUUCCUAUAAGCCACCUAAUAAGUAUGCAACCAGUUAUGCGUUCGUGCUUAGAACGGGUUACCUAGAUUUGUGACCAAAUAUAAUAGAAGGUUGGUACUACGCUUGGGGAAUUCUGGUCUUAGCUUGUGGCUGUACGGCUUCCGACGGAGGGGCAUGUCAUAUCGCCCAUCGGAGAGGAUUGUCACUUCAAUUUUCAAUCUGGUUGGAUGAACAAGUAAAUUUUUCCGUGGUCACUGUUUAAAGAAUACAAUAUUUAGUUAAAAUAUUCAUUUAUUAUAAGAUUGGUUUAUUUUGGAAGGAGCUAUUUUUUGUUUUGGGAUUUGUGCGGUGAGAGGAAGAGUUUUAUUUCCAAGUUUCCUUUUGGAAAACAGUGGCCACGGAAGAAAAUAAGAAGAUGGAAAAUUAAGUCAAUCAUACUUUAAUUUGUUUUUUUGGAAUACAUAAUCAUUUUGGGGAUAUUUUGGAUGGAAUGUGGAUGUUUUGUUUGGUUUUUGUGGAAGAAAAGUUGAGUUUUCCUAUACUGGGCAGCUACCUGCUUGCCGUACCUUCCUGUUGGUGUGGAGUACCUCCCUAGGGUUGGGAACCAGAGGAUACCUUAUUUGGCUCUCCCCUCAUCAUCUUCACCGAAGGUUGGAAGAAGCAAUCCGCCUACUUUUUGUAGGGACAGGUUUUUAUAUAACUAAAUUUGCAUGUCAAUUUGUUUUAAUAAUAACUUCCAAUUUUACUAUU
Diabrotica virgifera virgifera (western corn rootworm) is the source of this 764-nucleotide long non-coding RNA. RefSeq lists it as uncharacterized. The record is from RefSeq and is a predicted model, not a curated record. NCBI's taxonomy places the organism in Eukaryota, Metazoa, Arthropoda, Insecta, Coleoptera, Chrysomelidae. The transcript has 2 exons.